GCCCCCGUAGCUCAACUGGAUAGAGCAACGCCCUUCUAAGGCGUAGGUUGUGCGUUCAAGUCGCACCGGGGGUA
Molecule: transfer RNA, 74 nt
Filed under: Gemmataceae bacterium
Lineage: Bacteria; Pseudomonadati; Planctomycetota; Planctomycetia; Gemmatales; Gemmataceae
Also listed under: 1 other name
Description: tRNA-Arg
Rfam family: tRNA
About the family: Transfer RNA (tRNA) molecules are approximately 80 nucleotides in length. Their secondary structure includes four short double-helical elements and three loops (D, anti-codon, and T loops). Further hydrogen bonds mediate the characteristic L-shaped molecular structure. tRNAs have two regions of fundamental functional importance: the anti-codon, which is responsible for specific mRNA codon recognition, and the 3' end, to which the tRNAs corresponding amino acid is attached (by aminoacyl-tRNA synthetases). tRNAs cope with the degeneracy of the genetic code in two manners: having more than one tRNA (with a specific anti-codon) for a particular amino acid; and 'wobble' base-pairing, i.e. permitting non-standard base-pairing at the 3rd anti-codon position.
Source: RNAcentral